GUGGGCACAACCAAUCCAGCGAUUACAGGGGGCAAGUGUGAAUGCCUUCCGUGUGUGUGCACUUUACAGUAAUUCCUGUAAUAAGCAACCCACCGGGGACAAGGUGGCCCGGGGGUGGCGGAGACAGACCUGGAAUCCGCGCGUUCCCUGCCAUGACCCUACACCGCGCAGCACGUGGGCACGAGCCUGCAGAGUCAGAGAGCAAGUCUUCACCCGGAUUUGUCGCCGUGUCUCAUUUUUCGGUGAUUCUGAUGGAGUCAUCGUCACCCUCACCCAGUGCAAGGUGUAACUGUACCCGUGCACCCCUGGGGUCACCGCACCCAUUCUCUCGGCGCCUGGUUUCCCGGGGUGGGGGGGUACCAGCUCCGUCUCGGGGACCCCAUCCUUGUCACUGAGCUGGGAGGGGGAGGAGCCAGCAGGGCAGGGGGAUGCCACCUGCGGGCCCCAGAGUCCCUCCGGCUCUGCCUCCCCGCCCGGUCUAAUCCGACCUUCCCUAGGUUGAGGGGGCCACAGACAUGAAGCCAGGAACUCCGUGGAGGGAAGCAGCCCAGCCUGAGUCCUCGGGGCUCUUCCCCAGGUGACAGAAAGAAGGUGGCUGCUGGGUCCCAGGGUGGGGGGCGGUGACAGCAAAAGGUCCCCCUUUAGCCCUCCCCUUUCUGUGUGUUCAAGCACCCAAGGAUCCUUCCUGGACACGUUCCUGAUUAUCCACACGGGUAUCGUCUGAACUGCACGCUUCUGUGUCCGCGAAGAUGGGGGACGAACCCUGCCCCCACACCCGUCGGGCCCACAUGCCGCGGGGGUCACGCCAGCAGCCUUGCUAACGCUCACUCGAUCUUGGAUCUUCGCUGGAGGACAGCAGCAGGCAGGACAGAGCGGUGCAGGCUGGCUGGUCUUUGUCACCGAGGAGCGGGACGUUCGAAGCCAGGGGCCAGCAGAUGAAACACCAAGCGGCUGGAAAUGAGACCCCCACAUUGAACAGACCCCUUCGAAAGGCACUAGAGAAGGGAAUGUUCCAGGGGUAAAGGGGGGGUGUCAAGGAAGCUGGUCCUCACUGACGCCGGCUGCACGACCUCAGAAAGUCCAGGCCAAUAUUUGUAUGAAGGGGGUAGCAGGCUGGGAACACCCAGGGCUCCCGCAGAAGUCCCCCUGCAGGGCGACAGCAUUCACUGUUACCCCGGAGGCCCCUUGGCCACACUGCUUCGUGGGACACGGAUGCCAGGCUGCCCAAUCUCCAGGGGAAGCCGGCAGAUGAAGCCACCUAGGGUCUUGUCAAAAACCACAGCCCCCGAGUGGUGUCACUUUGGCCGGGUGACUUUACGCCUGACCUGACCGUGGGUCGAGCCUCCCGCAGAAAUGUAGUCUCAGCCUGGGAGUCAGGAAUUCUCCGGUGGGCCCAGAUGGGGUGACCGGUCUCCUGGACCUUCUCCACUGCCCCCGCCCCAGGAAGAGGAGGGGAUCUGCGGGAUCAACCCCCACCCACCCAGGGAAGGCGACCCGGCCUGAAACAACCCUUCCUUUCUCUUGCUAGCAACUUCCUUGUCCCACCCUCCUUCCUACAAAAACCUUCCAUCUUGUUGGGAAUCGAGCCCCCCUGUACUCGCUGGAUGGGGCGCUGCCCCAUUCGUGAGUGGCUCAAUAAAGCCCGUCAGAUCUUCAAAUUA
Leopardus geoffroyi (Geoffroy's cat) is the source of this 1661-nucleotide long non-coding RNA. RefSeq lists it as uncharacterized. Lineage: Eukaryota; Metazoa; Chordata; Mammalia; Carnivora; Felidae. The transcript is spliced from 2 exons. The record is from RefSeq and is a predicted model, not a curated record.